AAACCAUGCAUCGGGCAUUUUUAUAGCAAAAUUUUAAAUCACUCCCAAGCUUCAUACAAGUUCUCAUCCUCCAAUUACAUGAAAGAUGUGAUGUUGUUCCUCAAUCC
This is a small nucleolar RNA of Hibiscus syriacus, 107 nucleotides long. The record is from RefSeq and is a predicted model, not a curated record. NCBI's taxonomy places the organism in Eukaryota, Viridiplantae, Streptophyta, Magnoliopsida, Malvales, Malvaceae.